GCAAUCAUUGGACGUUACGAAACCCAAAGGCGCAGUGAAAGUAAAGGCUCGGCUUGUCUGGGCUGAGGUGAGAUCCUGUCGUUUCUCACGUAAGGUACUGUCAAGCGUUUGAGAGGAGGUCGCAUCACCGUCCCGUCCCAUGGCGUAGACACGGUCUUCGGUCUGUUCACCGUCGGGGCGGAGCAUGAGCGCACAUGUUGAGACCCGAAAGAUGGUGAACUAUGCUUGCGCAGGUUGAAACCAGAGGAAACUCUGGUGGAGGACCGCAGCGAUUCUGACGUGCAAAUCGAUCGUCAAACGUGAGUAUAGGGGCGAAAGACUAAUCGAACCAUCUAGUAGCUGGUUCCCUCCGAAGUUUCCCUCAGGAUAGCUGGCAUUCAGAUAUACAAACAGUUUUAUCCGGUAWAGCGAAUGAUUAGAGGCAUUGGGGGCGAAACGUCCUCUACCUAUUCUCAAACUUUAAAUGGGUGAGAAGCUUGACUCGCGUGAAUGGAGUCUGGCCUUGAAUGUGAGUGCCAAGUGGGCCAUUUUUGGUAAGCAGAACUGGCGCUGUGGGAUGAACCAAACGUUCGGUUAAGGUGCCUAACGCGACGCUCAUCAGAUACCACAAAAGGUGUUGGUUGGUCUAGACAGCAGGACGGUGGCCAUGGAAGUCGGAAUCCGCUAAGGAGUGUGUAACAACUCACAUGCCGAAUCAACCAGCCCUGAAAAUGGAUGGCGCUGGAGCGUCGGACAUAUACCGGACCGUCACUGCAAGCUGGAUCAGUAAUGUGUGGUGUGAGGGCAAGCCGCACGAUCCAGGCAUGGAGUUGUGGUGACGAGUAGGAGGGUCACCGUGGUGAGCGGGAAGCCUCGGGCGUGAGCCUGGGUGGAGCCGCCACGGGUGCAGAUMUUGGUGGUAGUAGCAAAUAUUCAAGUGAGAACAUUAAAGC
This 932-nucleotide ribosomal RNA is filed under the name Calicophoron calicophorum. Its description in RNAcentral is "eukaryotic LSU rRNA". It matches the Rfam family "Eukaryotic large subunit ribosomal RNA", at positions 686 to 1490 of the family's 3401-position model. Lineage: Eukaryota; Metazoa; Platyhelminthes; Trematoda; Plagiorchiida; Paramphistomidae. The record is from RNAcentral.